Molecule: ribosomal RNA, 484 nt
Filed under: uncultured bacterium
Lineage: Bacteria
Description: partial 16S ribosomal RNA
Rfam family: Bacterial small subunit ribosomal RNA
Source: RNAcentral
AUUGAACGCUGGCGGCAGGCCUAACACAUGCAAGUCGAGCGGAUGAAGGGAGCUUGCUCCUGGAUUCAGCGGCGGACGGGUGAGUAAUGCCUAGGAAUCUGCCUGGUAGUGGGGGAUAACGUCCGGAAACGGGCGCUAAUACCGCAUACGUCCUGAGGGAGAAAGUGGGGGAUCUUCGGACCUCACGCUAUCAGAUGAGCCUAGGUCGGAUUAGCUAGUUGGUGGGGUAAAGGCCUACCAAGGCGACGAUCCGUAACUGGUCUGAGAGGAUGAUCAGUCAACCCGGAAACUGAGAACCGUUCCGGAUCCCUACGGGAGGCAGCAGUGGGAAUAUUGGACAAUGGGCGAAAGCCUGAUCCAGCCAUGCCGCGUGUGUGAAGAAGGUCUUCGGAUUGUAAAGCACUUUAAGUUGGGAGGAAGGGCAGUAAGUUAAUACCUUGCUGUUUUGACGUUACCAACAGAAUAAGCACCGGCUAACUUCGUG